UACGUAGGGUGCGAGCGUUAAUCGGAAUUACUGGGCGUAAAGGGCUCGUAGGCGGCCAACUAAGUCAGACGUGAAAUCCCUCGGCUUAACCGGGGAACUGCAUCUGAUACUGGAUGGCUUGAAUCCGGGAGAGGGAUGCAGAAUUCCAGGUGUAGCGGUGAAAUGCGUAGAUAUCUGGAGGAAUACCGGUGGCGAAGGCGGCAUCCUGGACCGGCAUUGACGCUGAGGAGCGAAAGCCAGGGGAGCAAACGGG
Molecule: ribosomal RNA, 253 nt
Filed under: uncultured bacterium
Lineage: Bacteria
Description: partial 16S ribosomal RNA
Rfam family: Bacterial small subunit ribosomal RNA
Source: RNAcentral